RNAcentral lists this ribosomal RNA (253 nucleotides) under uncultured bacterium. Its description in RNAcentral is "partial 16S ribosomal RNA". It matches the Rfam family "Bacterial small subunit ribosomal RNA", at positions 524 to 776 of the family's 1533-position model. The record is from RNAcentral.
UACGGAGGAUGCAAGCGUUAUCCGGAAUGAUUGGGCGUAAAGCGUCCGCAGGUGGCUGUGUAAGUCUGCUGUCAAAGAGCGAAGCUCAACUUCGUAAAGGCAGUGGAAACUACACGGCUAGAGUGCGUUCGGGGCAGAGGGAAUUCCUGGUGUAGCGGUGAAAUGCGUAGAGAUCAGGAAGAACACCGGUGGCGAAGGCGGCAUCCUGGACCAACACUGACACUGAGGAGCGAAAGCCAGGGGAGCAAACGGG